This is a long non-coding RNA of Maniola jurtina (meadow brown), 71 nucleotides long. RefSeq lists it as uncharacterized. NCBI's taxonomy places the organism in Eukaryota, Metazoa, Arthropoda, Insecta, Lepidoptera, Nymphalidae. The record is from RefSeq and is a predicted model, not a curated record. The transcript has 3 exons.
CAUCCAAACCUGCGCGACCGACGCGACUACGAAGCAGGAACGUCAGCUGCGCGGCGACUUUUAAAGGCGCC